CUAUGGUCUUUAAUACAUGGCCAAAACUGUAGUGAACCUAUGGUUAUAAAUCAUCAAAUUGCGGGAACACCCUAAAGAAAUCUUAACCAAGUAAGUAUGGUAACAUAACUUAUGGCACAGGUAAUGACUCGUGGUAUGGUAAAAUCAAGAUUUAUUAUUCAAUGGGCAAUCCGCAGCCAAGUACCAAUUGUAGAGGUAAGCUUUUAUUUGGUAUGCAGUUCAUCGACUAGACGGUGGUUGGUGUUAUUAGUAUUAAUAAUGCUUAAGAUAUAGUCAGACCCUACCCGAAAGGGUACA
Fusarium poae is the source of this 297-nucleotide non-coding RNA. The record is from Rfam. Lineage: Eukaryota; Fungi; Ascomycota; Sordariomycetes; Hypocreales; Nectriaceae.